GGGGGGGGGGGGGGGGGGGGGGAGGGGGUGCGGGGCGGGCGGGGGGGGGCGGCGUGGGGGGGGUGCUCGAGUGGCGAGCGGGUGAGUAACACGUGAGUAACCUGCCCUUGCCUUGGGGAUACCUUCAGGAAACUGGGGCUAAUACCGGAUAGGAGCUCCGGCUGCAUGGUGGGGGUUGGAACGUUUCGGCGGUUGGGGAUGGACUCGCGGCGUAUCAGCGUGUUGGUGGGGUAGUGGCUUACCAAGGCUUUGACGGGUAGCCGGCCUGAGAGGGUGACCGGCCACAUUGGGACUGAGAUACGGCCCAGACUCCUACGGGAGGCAGCAGUGGGGAAUAUUGCACAAUGGGCGGAAGCCUGAUGCAGCAACGCCGCGUGCGGGAUGACGGCCUUCGGGUUGUAAACCGCUUUCGCCUGUGACGAAGCGUGAGUGACGGUAAUGGGUAAAGAAGCACCGGCUAACUACGUG
This 468-nucleotide ribosomal RNA is filed under the name uncultured bacterium. Its description in RNAcentral is "partial 16S ribosomal RNA". The stretch from base 49 to 468 matches the Rfam family "Bacterial small subunit ribosomal RNA", at positions 39 to 507 of the family's 1533-position model. The record is from RNAcentral.